This 556-nucleotide ribosomal RNA is filed under the name uncultured archaeon. RNAcentral describes it as "bacterial SSU rRNA". It matches the Rfam family "Archaeal small subunit ribosomal RNA", at positions 333 to 897 of the family's 1478-position model. The record is from RNAcentral.
CACCAGGCGCGAAAACUUUGCAAUGCGGGAAACCGUGACAAGGGAACUCUGAGUGCCCGUUAAAUCGGGCUGUCCAUCGGUUUAAAUAACCGGUGAAGAAAGGGCCGGGCAAGACCGGUGCCAGCCGCCGCGGUAAUACCGGCGGCUCGAGUGGUGGCCACUAUUACUGGGCUUAAAGCGUUCGUAGCUGGUUUGUUAAGUCUCUGGGGAAAUCUUCCGGCUUAACCGGAGGGCGUCUCAGGGAUACUGGCAGACUAGGGACCGGGAGAGGUGAGAGGUACUCCAGGGGUAGGAGUGAAAUCCUGUAAUCCUUGGGGGACCACCUGUGGCGAAGGCGUCUCACCAGAACGGCUCCGACAGUGAGGGACGAAAGCUGGGGGAGCAAACCGGAUUAGAUACCCGGGUAGUCCCAGCUGUAAACGAUGCGCGUUAGGUGUAUCGGUGACCACGAGUCACCGAGGUGCCGAAGAGAAAUCGUGAAACGUGCCGCCUGGGAAGUACGGUCGCAAGGCUGAAACUUAAAGGAAUUGGCGGGGGAGCACAAGGGCGAUUCGCG